UACUUUAGUCUAAAGAAGCUGGCAAAAUUGCACUGUAGAAAUGAACAGUGUUUUGUAAGACAUUUCAGUUUAUUUACAAGACUACCACUGGCCCUCUCUGCCGUUAGUCUUGAUGCAUACGUGUUGAUGAUCGUGGGAAGGAAGAACGAUGGUAAAGGCGGUCUUUUUCGUUUCAUUCUCAAACCCUCCUUGCCUCUUCCGUCUCACAGACCCGACGAGAAUGACACAGACGGUCUCGCGUCCAUCCUAUCCUCCUCUCACCGCCGUCUGCCUUCCCUCGCCUAUGUCGUCUUACUCCAUCGUUUGCGUCAUGGAGGCCCAUGCGUGGUUUUUUGGGUGGGGAUUUCAGAUUUCAAGGGGGAGAGAGGUUGUGCUUCGUUUCGAUCUGGUCUUGGCUUCAAUAAAAUCAGCACCCACAACUGGAUGAGUCAAGAAGCCUGACCGCUACCGACCUGGAAUCGUCGCUCUUCGUGAAAAAACAUACUAAAGCAACAACAUUAUGGUGGUGGGAAUAAGCGUUCUCAGUUUGAUCGAAUCAGGUUGAAUUGAAUAAUCCUUGAAGUGACAAGAAGGAGCUGACUGAGCAAGUUUGCCUCAAGCCGGUGAAGGAAUCAGGGUAACAGAGCCCAGACUAUAAGAGCUAUUUCACAUCCCUUAAUUUUUAUUUUAUUUUAUUAAUUUUAACCAGAUCUGAGAAUUUCUAAGUCAUGGAUCUAUAAAUAGUGUGUGUUGAGUCUCUGAGCAUCUCUAUUUUUUUUUUUUUCAUCAAAUGGUCUCUGUAGUGUCUCUGUGUGUUUGUGCAUCCAUGUAUGAAUAUGAUCUCUGCAAGCUCAUUAUUGUCCUGGGAAACCACCUAAAUUAUUGAUACCUUGCUUUCUACGUACAAUGCUAUCAAGUUCUAUUUUCUAGAUUUCUGAUUUUGGGGGGGAGGGAGUGCUAAUAUAGUAAUUUUCAGGUAUUUUGUGUCUUUUGGGUAACUUUGUGAUAUGCAGUUGAUUUUAGGAAUUGAUUUAUGGUGGAAUGCACUGACAUAAGUUGUUGUUUUUGUUAAUGCAGAUGAUGGAAAUUGACCCGAGUUCAAACUGAAACAAUAUGAUUAUUUUGGUUAUGAGACGGCUGAUGGCAUUUUGAACUGCUUAGAUACAACUGAAGUGGAGAAGGAUAGCUCAGUGGCUUCCUAAGGUGCAAUGCUACUUCAGAAUGCUUUAGUUCAGAAGCCGGCAGAAUCAAAUGACAAUCUUGGGCCAAGAAAGAAAUCAUUAUCUGAUAUUGGGAACCUACUGGUGAAUGCAGACGCUGCAAAACCUGCCUUAAAGAACUGUAGAUGCUGAAGACAAAAAAGAAGCAAAGGAUACAUUGCAAGCAUAAGAGUUGGCUUCAUUUCAUUCCAGUG
This is a long non-coding RNA of Pyrus x bretschneideri (Chinese white pear), 1393 nucleotides long. RefSeq lists it as uncharacterized. The record is from RefSeq and is a predicted model, not a curated record. The transcript has 8 exons. Lineage: Eukaryota; Viridiplantae; Streptophyta; Magnoliopsida; Rosales; Rosaceae.